This 1095-nucleotide long non-coding RNA is filed under the name Equus asinus (donkey). RNAcentral describes it as "lncRNA (ENSEASG00005024835.1)". Lineage: Eukaryota; Metazoa; Chordata; Mammalia; Perissodactyla; Equidae. The record is from RNAcentral.
CAAGGAGCUCCCCGUCCAGUGCGGGGAGGCAGAUGGGUAUGCAGAAAACCAGAACAUCGUGAGAUUAGCACGGCUGUCUAAACAGGGCCUGGCACACAGUGGGCACUCAGUAAGUGUUUAUGGAAUUAACAAAUACAUUAAAAGAUAUCAUGGAAUCACAGAUGGAGGAUGGGGGAAGCUUCUAGAAAGUAAUAUGGGAGCUGAGGUUCAGAGGGCUGGGUAGGAGGGAACCAGCCAAGGGAGGAGCGAUGUCCUGGAACCAGCGUGCAGCUGGCCUCUUUUACAAGGCUUCCAGGCCCUUCAACACUGGCCUGUGACUCAUUCCUCUUUGUGCUCCUCCGGGUGCCUAGGGUGCCUAACAAUAGGCUCUGUACAGGGCAGGUGCCAACCUCCCGGAAAUGAAACUGUUAAAUAUCCUGCUUUCAAAACAAAACAACCACUCAGCAUCACAGGCAUAAAACUAACUGGGGUCAUUUGGGUCACCCAAGCCCUUCCUCCAGUUCACAGUGACAUGUCUCACAAUGAUGCCAUCCUUGGUGAGCUUGGCAUGGUUUUCAAAGUCCUUGCAGUGCUCUGUGUAGAGCUGGCAAACACAAAUUAAUUCAGUCCAUCUGCUUUGGUCCUCAUCCACCUGUUUCAGAGCACGUCUCUCAUUACCUUAAUCAAGAUAAUAUAUUCUUAGCAGCGAGGGACCAUGGAGACAGGGUUCCCCGGAUAUUCAUCUGAAACUGGUAAAUCUUUCCAAGCGCCGUAGGUGCUGAAAGGUCUGCUCUCAAAAACAAAGAAUGUACCACAGCUGUGACGGAAAGCAUCCAGCGUCCUCAGAAGGUGAGAGUACAAUACAGGCACCCUGUGGGGACCUAGCUUAUAAAGCAGGAUCUAGCCUCCCAUCCCUCUCUCGUGACCAUCAAGGUCAAGGUCAAGGUUAGAAGGCCCCUGAGCCGUUUUCUUUUGGAGGGAGGUGGUAGCCAAGACCAGCUGCUCAGAAACCGAGGGGAGUUGCAGGACAACCAGGUGGUCAUCUGCCCAAAUAUAGAAAGAAAACCUCUACCCAGAUUCUGCUUCCAGAAGGGAUUCACAUUUCGCACUUGUAAA